AGAGUUUGAUCCUGGCUCAGGAUGAACGCUGGCGGCGUGCUUAACACAUGCAAGUCGAACGAACCUUCGGGUUAGUGGCGGACGGGUGAGUAACGCGUGAGAAUCUGCCCUCAGGAGGGGGAUAACAGUUGGAAACGACUGCUAAUACCCCAUAUGCCGAGAGGUGAAAUGAAUUUCGCCUGGGGAUGAGCUCGCGUCUGAUUAGCUUGUUGGUGGGGUAAUAGCCUACCAAGGCUUCGAUCAGUAGCUGGUCUGAGAGGACGAUCAGCCACACUGGGACUGAGACACGGCCCAGACUCCUACGGGAGGCAGCAGUGGGGAAUUUUCCGCAAUGGGCGAAAGCCUGACGGAGCAACGCCGCGUGAGGGAUGGAGGCCUUUGGGCUGUAAACCUCUUUUCUCAAGGAAGAAGAUCUGACGGUACUUGAGGAAUAAGCCACGGCUAAUUCCGUGCCAGCAGCCGCGGUAAUACGGGAGUGGCAAGCGUUAUCCGGAAUUAUUGGGCGUAAAGCGUCCGCAGGCGGCCGUUUAAGUCUGUUGUUAAAUCGUGGGGCUCAACUCCAUCACGGCAAUGGAAACUGUUCGGCUUGAGUAUGGUAGGGGCAGAGGGAAUUUCCGGUGUAGCGGUGAAAUGCGUAGAUAUCGGGAAGAACACCAGUGGCGAAAGCGCUCUGCUGGGCCAUUACUGACGCUCAUGGACGAAAGCCAGGGGAGCGAAAGGGAUUAGAUACCCCUGUAGUCCUGGCCGUAAACGAUGAACACUAGAUGUUGGGGGAAUCGACCCCCUCGGUGUCGUAGCUAACGCGUUAAGUGUUCCGCCUGGGGAGUACGCACGCAAGUGUGAAACUCAAAGGAAUUGACGGGGGCCCGCACAAGCGGUGGAGUAUGUGGUUUAAUUCGAUGCGACGCGAAGAACCUUACCAAGGCUUGACAUCCUGCGAAUCUCUAAGAAAUUAGAGAGUGCCUUCGGGAACGCAGUGACAGGUGGUGCAUGGCUGUCGUCAGCUCGUGUCGUGAGAUGUUGGGUUAAGUCCCGCAACGAGCGCAACCCACGUUUUUAGUUGCCAGCAUUCAGUUGGGCACUCUAGAAAGACUGCCGGUGACAAACCGGAGGAAGGUGUGGACGACGUCAAGUCAUCAUGCCCCUUACGCCUUGGGCUACACACGUACUACAAUGCUGCGGACAAAGAGUAGCGAUCUUGCGAAAGUUAGCUAAUCUCAUAAACCGUGGCUCAGUUCAGAUCGUAGGCUGCAACUCGCCUACGUGAAGGAGGAAUCGCUAGUAAUCGCAGGUCAGCAUACUGCGGUGAAUACGUUCCCGGGCCUUGUACACACCGCCCGUCACACCAUGGAAGUUGGCCAUGCCCGAAGUCGUUACUCUAACCUUUUGGAAGAGGGCGCCGAAGGCAGGGCUAAUGACUGGGGUGAAGUCGUAACAAGGUAACC
This 1445-nucleotide ribosomal RNA is filed under the name uncultured bacterium. RNAcentral describes it as "bacterial SSU rRNA". It matches the Rfam family "Bacterial small subunit ribosomal RNA". The record is from RNAcentral.